UACGGAGGGUGCAAGCGUUGUUCGGAUUUACUGGGCGUAAAGGGGGUGUAGGCGGCUUCGUCAGUCGGACGUGAAAUCCCUUGGCUCAACCGAGGAAUUGCGCUCGAUACUGCGAAGCUUGAGGACGGCAGAGGGAAACAGAAUUCCUGGUGUAGCGGUGAAAUGCGUUGAUAUCAGGAGGAACACCUGUGGCGAAGGCGGUUUCCUGGGCCGUUUCUGACGCUGAGACCCGAAAGCGACGGGUAGCAAACCGGAUUAGAUACCCGGGUAGUCCACGCCCUAAACGAUGGAUGCUAGUUGUUGGGGUCCUACGUGGUCUCGGUGACGAAGCUAACGCGUUAAGCAUCCCGCCUGGGGACUACGGCCGCAAGGCUAAAACUCAAAUGAAUUGACGG
This 395-nucleotide ribosomal RNA is filed under the name uncultured bacterium. RNAcentral's name for it is "bacterial SSU rRNA". It matches the Rfam family "Bacterial small subunit ribosomal RNA", at positions 524 to 916 of the family's 1533-position model. The record is from RNAcentral.